GGGAAUGUAACUCAGUUGGUAGAGUGCUUGCCUUGCAUGCACAAGGUCCUGGGUUCAACCCCCAGCACCA
Molecule: transfer RNA, 70 nt
Filed under: Ictidomys tridecemlineatus (thirteen-lined ground squirrel)
Lineage: Eukaryota; Metazoa; Chordata; Mammalia; Rodentia; Sciuridae
Description: Spermophilus tridecemlineatus (thirteen-lined ground squirrel) tRNA
Rfam family: tRNA
About the family: Transfer RNA (tRNA) molecules are approximately 80 nucleotides in length. Their secondary structure includes four short double-helical elements and three loops (D, anti-codon, and T loops). Further hydrogen bonds mediate the characteristic L-shaped molecular structure. tRNAs have two regions of fundamental functional importance: the anti-codon, which is responsible for specific mRNA codon recognition, and the 3' end, to which the tRNAs corresponding amino acid is attached (by aminoacyl-tRNA synthetases). tRNAs cope with the degeneracy of the genetic code in two manners: having more than one tRNA (with a specific anti-codon) for a particular amino acid; and 'wobble' base-pairing, i.e. permitting non-standard base-pairing at the 3rd anti-codon position.
Source: Rfam by way of RNAcentral